GCCUCAGUGGCCAAGUGGUAAGGCGUCGGUCUCGUAAACCGAAGAUCAUGGGUUCAACUCCCAUCUAAGGCU
RNAcentral lists this transfer RNA (72 nucleotides) under Saccoglossus kowalevskii. Its description in RNAcentral is "tRNA-Thr". It matches the Rfam family "tRNA". From Rfam's summary of the family: Transfer RNA (tRNA) molecules are approximately 80 nucleotides in length. Their secondary structure includes four short double-helical elements and three loops (D, anti-codon, and T loops). The record is from RNAcentral. Lineage: Eukaryota; Metazoa; Hemichordata; Enteropneusta; Harrimaniidae.